This 434-nucleotide ribosomal RNA is filed under the name actinobacterium SCGC AAA027-F02. RNAcentral describes it as "bacterial SSU rRNA". It matches the Rfam family "Bacterial small subunit ribosomal RNA", at positions 355 to 800 of the family's 1533-position model. Lineage: Bacteria; Bacillati; Actinomycetota; Actinomycetes. The record is from RNAcentral.
UGGGGAAUAUUGGGCAAUGGAGGAAACUCUGACCCAGCGACGCCGCGUGCGGGAUGAAGGCCUUCGGGUUGUAAACCGCUUUCAGUAGGGAAGAAGCGAAAGUGACGGUACCUACAAAAGAAGCACCGGCUAACUAUGUGCCAGCAGCCGCGGUAAUACAUAGGGUGCAAGCGUUGUCCGGAAUUAUUGGGCGUAAAGAGCUCGUAGGUCGUUUGUUACGUCGGAUGUGAAAACCUGAGGCUCAACCUCAGGCCUGCAUUCGAUACGGGCAAAACUAGAGUUUGGUAGGGGAGACUGGAAUUCCUGGUGUAGCGGUGGAAUGCGCAGAUAUCAGGAGGAACACCAAUGGCGAAGGCAGGUCUCUGGGCCAAUACUGACACUGAGGAGCGAAAGUCUGGGGAGCGAACAGGAUUAGAUACCCGGGUAGUCCGGUC